Molecule: ribosomal RNA, 408 nt
Filed under: uncultured bacterium
Lineage: Bacteria
Description: partial 16S ribosomal RNA
Rfam family: Bacterial small subunit ribosomal RNA
Source: RNAcentral
GACGAACGCUGGCGGCGUGCUUAACACAUGCAAGUCGAACGAAGUGGCGAACGGGUGAGUAACGUGUAAUCAACCUGCCCUUCAGAGGGGGACAACAGUUGGAAACGACUGCUAAUACCGCAUACUGAAGGAGGGGAUUGCGUCUGAUUAGCUCGGUGGGGGGGUAACCGCCCACCAAGGCGAUGAUCAGUAGGCGGUCUGGGGGGAUGAACGGCCAAAAUGGGACUGGGACACGGCCCAGAAUCCUACGGGAGGCAGCAGUGGGGAAUCUUCCGAAAUGGACGAAAGUCUGACGGAGCAACGCCGCGGGAGUGAUAGCGGCCUUCGGGUUGUAAAGCUCUGUUAAUCGGGGCGCGGUACCGGAAGAGAAAGCCACGGCUAACUACGUGCCAGCAGCCGCGGUAAUAC